UGUUCUAUCGCUUCGCGUAACGCGGGGAGGAAAGUCGGGACAACACAGAGCGCCAUACUUCCUAACGGGAAGGUUUCUCGUUAAAAACGAGGAAACAGCGAGUGCCACAGAAAAUAACUUCCUAUGCCGGGGCAGAGGCAAGCCAGCCUUCGCUGAAGCUUCGGCAGGUAAAGGUGAAAACGUGGGGUAAGAGCCCACGCAGUGUUGUGGCGACACAGCACCGGGGUAAACCUUAUGGGUUGAAAGUCCAAAUAAGCCGGCACUCCCGCGUAAAGCGGGAUAAGGGUUGCUCGUCCGAUGCCGGCGGGUAGGACGCUAGAGCCAAGCAGUGAUGUUUGGCCCAGAUAAAUGAUAGAAUCCUGCCCCGAUAGCUAUCGGGGCAGGGGACAGAAUCCCGCUUACAGGCCUGCCCG
RNAcentral lists this RNase P RNA (413 nucleotides) under marine eukaryotic metagenome. Its description in RNAcentral is "Bacterial RNase P class A". It matches the Rfam family "Bacterial RNase P class A". Rfam says of the family: Ribonuclease P (RNase P) is a ubiquitous endoribonuclease, found in archaea, bacteria and eukarya as well as chloroplasts and mitochondria. Its best characterised activity is the generation of mature 5'-ends of tRNAs by cleaving the 5'-leader elements of precursor-tRNAs. The record is from RNAcentral.